RNAcentral lists this long non-coding RNA (2916 nucleotides) under Ananas comosus (pineapple). Its description in RNAcentral is "long non-coding RNA (ACOM_LNC006348)". The record is from RNAcentral. Lineage: Eukaryota; Viridiplantae; Streptophyta; Magnoliopsida; Poales; Bromeliaceae.
AUUUAUUAUCUAGUGAAAAGUUUGGUCCAGAUAUAAGUAUAAGUUACUGAUCACGUGCAUCGUGUUUCUCCAACCCUAAGAAAGUGAGAGAUUUUGCUCCAACCUAAACGUGCGUGAAAUUAAUAUCUCUUAAUUAAUUACCUCUCCAAUUUGUGUUGAUUGCAACAACUUUUUGGGACCACGUUCAAGGAUUGUUUGGUUUCAAGUAAAUUUAUCGAUUUUUUUUUUUUUUAGUUUGUUGUAAAACAAAGAGAUUUUGCAUCACAAAUUAUUUUAGUUUUCUGAUGUUAUGUUUUUUCUUUCAUUGUUUGAUUAUAUAAUAAAUUAUUUCAAGUUUUUAGUUAAAUAUAUGUAUUUUCAAUAUAUUUUAUACUGUGCUUUAUGCACAUCUAACGCUAUAUUUAUUGUAUAUAAUAUUAAUAUUUUAUACAUAUAUUUAUAUAUAUAUAAUGCUCGGUCCAAUGGGAAACCAAGUUGCACUUCUUACGUGGUCCACCAGGCCUGGCGUGCAUUUGUGGACCCGCUUGAGUGCUCCAAGCCUUGCACCGCAUUUUUAUUUUUCCCCCCUUCCACUUCAAUUUUCGGACUUUUUAGAGGGAAAAAUGAAAAAGUAAAAUUUUUAAGUAAAAUUGUAAAAUAAUUUUACACAAAAAGCUAUUUACAAGCAUCCAAAUGCUUAAAAAUUUAUUUUUCAAGACUAAAAUAAUUUUCAGCCUGAUUUUAUAAGGAUCUAACCAUUUUCUUAACUUGGCCGAUUUUUAAAUUUAGAAUUUCGAAUAUCAAUCAUCAAGUCUUUUACCAUUUGUGCUAUAUGGGUGAUUGGUUUUUGUGUACAUGCAAUACAAAAAUGAUACUGUUGAGGCUAAUUACUCUAGCUACUAUUAUAUUCAAAAAGAAAAUAUAAAGUCUCUUACAUUAAUACAAUACUGUUGAGUCAACUCAUGUCAUAAUUAAUUUCACCACACCAUUUUGUUUUGGUCAUUAUAAAAUCAGUUUUCAAUCUCCACUCCUGACCACCACAAUUGCUUGCGUUGAUGAAAUUUUACAUGCAAAAUCCAGUAACGAGUAUAUUCAAACAACUUAAUUCACUCAAUGCCAAUCAGAUCCAAACUUUUCAAUCACUUUUCAAGUAUCUUUGUGCUAUUUUGCUUCUUUAGUAGAGGAAUAGGGCUUGAUUUAUAAAAUGUGCACGUUAAAUUGCAUAUUCCACAUGCAAAAUUUCCUCUUCUAUCCGGGCAAUGAUGGAGACAAAACAAAAAUUGGCAACUUUUUGUCUUGCUCUUUGUAAAUUUUUGUAUUGAUCUAUGAUUUACUUUAGAGGCUUAAAGGCUUAAAAAUUCGAUUUAAAGAGUAAAGCUUUUCUCUCGCCCUUUUUUUAUUUUUUUUAUUUUUAUUUUUUCACAUCCAACAAUGCGCAUUCUCAUUUGAUCCAUUAUACAGAAUAUCUGUGUUGUUGGAGUAGAUACAUAAUCAUAUAUAGUAAAGUUGCAGGAGGUCUUAACUUUAAAUUAUAAUUACCAAAUUUUAAUUUCUAAUUAAAUUUCCUUCUAUUUAAUUAAAACUCAUAUAUUUAACCUAGUAAAAAAAAAAUCUCAAAUUCAAACAUGAAAGAAUUAUAUAAAAGACUAAAAUAGCAUUCUCUCAUAUGUGUUGUUGUUGUUGUUGUUGUUUUUUUUUUUUUUUUUUUUUUUUUUUUUUUUUUUUUUUGUGAGAGAGAGAUAGCUAGGUAGCAUGCUACCCAUUUAAUUCGUUUACUUUAUUUAGAAAUAAACUUAGCUGGAAAUGUGAAUCAAUUAGAAUUUGAACUUGAGACCUCGGAUAUCAACCACCAAGCCCUUUGCCACUUGCUCUAGGGACAGUCGGUGCAUUCUCUCAUAUGUUACUUUACAACAGAUGAGGCGGCCUGCACAGUAUAAAGUGCGCGGAAUUUCAACCUCACAUUAAAUAUCACCAUUACAUGCAAUUCAAAAUUCUUCGCAUGAUCGUUAUCAUAGAGAGAAAAGAAGAACUUAAAUCUGUUUACUUAUUAUACUUAUGAGCAAUGCUUCAAUACUCCGUUGUAAUCUUAGCCGUUUAUUUUUAAUCAAUGAAGGGUUAAGAUUUAUGCAUAAAAAAAGGUGACCUGCUAUUGCACAAGAAGUACCGGUCACCAGGUAUGUGAUUUAGGAGUUUUUUUGGAAAAAAAAGAGCUAAUAUAAAAAAUUAAAUAACUAAUAUUGGAAAGUUUUGCAUACUACCCUUAAAUCAUGGAGAUAAUAAAUUUUUAAUUAAAUUAUCCAUUUUUAAAGCGGAUUUUAAUAAAAAUUUAUGAUCGCAUUUGAGCCAUAAAUUUAGUAAUUUAUAAUUUAAAAUUAAUUUUCAAACAUCAAAACUUUAUGUUUAAAUAGUUAACAAAAUUUAUUUUUUAAGUAUAAUAUAAAUUAAAUCGAAAUUUAUAAUUUAAAUUUGAUCAUUAUUUUUGAAAUUUAAUGCUGUUUUUCAAUAUUGAAUUAACAAUUUCAACUUACUUUAAAAUGUAGAAAUCUUUUAUUUUAAAUAAAUAAUAAAUUGACAAUUUGAAUUGAAAUGUUUACUCGUUUAAAUAUAAAUUUUUCUUUCUAAAAUUUAAAUAUUAUAAAUACAAAGUUUAAACUCAAGUUAAAAUUUAAAUUCGAAUUUAUGAAGAUUUAUCACUUAUGAAAUUAGCCAUUAUCUAAGUUGGUAAGUAACAAAAUUAAAUUAGGAAAUGAAGAUUUGUUGGAUAUUAUUAAAUUUGGUAAUUGACUAAUGCAUAGUUUCAAAUAUUAUCUUUAUGAUUGAUUGGUAACCUGUUGAGCAGGUUACCAUUGUGUAAAAGUCAAUCUUAACCUUAAAAUUGAAUGGCCGGAUUUAAAUUGGCCGAUGUAUAGAAGUAUUUCUCAAAAAAAAAAAAAAAAA